Molecule: non-coding RNA, 73 nt
Organism: Stegodyphus mimosarum
Lineage: Eukaryota; Metazoa; Arthropoda; Arachnida; Araneae; Eresidae
Source: Rfam
GCCUUCGUGGUGUAGUGGUCAGCACGCUCGACGCGUAACCGAGAGAUCCGUGGUUCGAUUCUCGGCGAAGACU